AACGCUGGCGGCAUGCCUUACACAUGCAAGUCGAACGGCAGCACGGGAGCAUCCUGGUGGCGAGUGGCGAACGGGUGAGUAAUAUAUCGGAACGUGCCCAGUAAUGGGGGAUAGCCCGGCGAAAGCCGGAUUAAUACCGCAUACGACCUACGGGUGAAAGCGGGGGAUCGCAAGACCUCGCGUUAUUGGAGCGGCCGAUAUCAGAUUAGCUUGUUGGCGGGGUAAAAGCCCACCAAGGCGACGAUCUGUAGCUGGUCUGAGAGGACGACCAGCCACACUGGGACUGAGACACGGCCCAGACUCCUACGGGAGGCAGCAGUGGGGAAUUUUGGACAAUGGGCGCAAGCCUGAUCCAGCCAUGCCGCGUGUGGGAAGAAGGCCUUCGGGUUGUAAACCACUUUUGUCAGGGAAGAAACGGCCUAGGUUAAUACCUUGGGCUAAUGACGGUACCUGAAGAAUAAGCACCGGCUAACUACGUGCCAGCAGCCGCGGUAAUACGUAGGGUGCAAGCGUUAAUCGGAAUUACUGGGC
This 531-nucleotide ribosomal RNA is filed under the name uncultured bacterium. Its description in RNAcentral is "bacterial SSU rRNA". It matches the Rfam family "Bacterial small subunit ribosomal RNA", at positions 32 to 559 of the family's 1533-position model. The record is from RNAcentral.